GGGGAUUUAGCUCAGCGGCAUAAGCGCCUGCCUUGCAAGCAGGUGGUCGUGAGUUCGAUCCCCA
Cavia porcellus (domestic guinea pig) is the source of this 64-nucleotide transfer RNA. It matches the Rfam family "tRNA". Rfam says of the family: Transfer RNA (tRNA) molecules are approximately 80 nucleotides in length. Their secondary structure includes four short double-helical elements and three loops (D, anti-codon, and T loops). Further hydrogen bonds mediate the characteristic L-shaped molecular structure. tRNAs have two regions of fundamental functional importance: the anti-codon, which is responsible for specific mRNA codon recognition, and the 3' end, to which the tRNAs corresponding amino acid is attached (by aminoacyl-tRNA synthetases). tRNAs cope with the degeneracy of the genetic code in two manners: having more than one tRNA (with a specific anti-codon) for a particular amino acid; and 'wobble' base-pairing, i.e. permitting non-standard base-pairing at the 3rd anti-codon position. Lineage: Eukaryota; Metazoa; Chordata; Mammalia; Rodentia; Caviidae. The record is from Rfam.